This 769-nucleotide ribosomal RNA is filed under the name Natronococcus xinjiangense. RNAcentral describes it as "bacterial SSU rRNA". It matches the Rfam family "Archaeal small subunit ribosomal RNA", at positions 575 to 1339 of the family's 1478-position model. The record is from RNAcentral. Lineage: Archaea; Methanobacteriati; Methanobacteriota; Halobacteria; Halobacteriales; Natrialbaceae.
CGGUGGAAACUGCCUGGCUUGGGACCGGAAGACCAGAGGGGUACGUCCGGGGUAGGAGUGAAAUCCCGUAAUCCUGGACGGACCACCGGUGGCGAAAGCGCCUCUGGAAGACGGAUCCGACGGUGAGGGACGAAAGCUCGGGUCACGAACCGGAUUAAAUACCCGGGUAGUCCGAGCUGUAAACGAUGUCUGCUAGGUGUGCCACAGGCUACGAGCCUGUGGUGUGCCGCAGGGAAGCCGUGAAGCACACCGCCUGGGAAGUACGUCCGCAAGGAUGAAACUUAAAGGAAUUGGCGGGGGAGCACUACAACCGGAGGAGCCUGCGGUUUAAUUGGACUCAACGCCGGACAUCUCACCAGCAUCCACAGUAGGAGUGACGGUCAGUGUGAUGAGCUUACCAAACCUACUGAGAGGAGGUGCAUGGCCGCCGUCAGCUCGUACCGUGAGGCGUCCUGUUAAGUCAGGCAACGAGCGAGACCCGCACUCCUAAUUGCCAGCAACACCCUUGUGGUGGUUGGGUACAUUAGGAGGACUGCCAGUGCCAAACUGGAGGAAGGAACGGGCAACGGUAGGUCAGUAUGCCCCGAAUGUGCUGGGCAACACGCGGGCUACAAUGGUCGAGACAGUGCGAUGCAACCCCGAGAGGGGGCGCUAAUCUCCGAAACUCGAUCGUAGUUCGGAUUGCGGACUGAAACUCGUCCGCAUGAAGCUGGAUUCCGGUAGUAAUCGACGUUCCAGAUGACUGCGGUGCAUACGUCCUGCUCCCUUG